This 364-nucleotide long non-coding RNA is filed under the name Homo sapiens (human). RNAcentral's name for it is "HSALNT0104857". The record is from RNAcentral. Lineage: Eukaryota; Metazoa; Chordata; Mammalia; Primates; Hominidae.
CUAAAGCAAUUAGUAUCUUCAUCAUGAUUUUGCAAUUGUCUUCUGUUCUUCUAUUAGUUUCAUAAAGAAUUGUCAUUCUGAAAACAGAGGGCAGAAACACUGGUUUAUGUCUAAUAAUGCAGUAUACCUAAACCUCACACAAAAGGCACCUGCUGACAUAGGAGAAAGGGACUUUCUACAUGCUCAGAUUUAAACUACAAUCUGAUUUCUAGCACUACAUUUGGGAUACUGGGUUUUACUUAUAUCCUCUCAAUUUUAGAUUCCAGAGAUGUAUAUAUUUUUAAACACCACAGAUACAAUAGGAUCAUUAUUGAAAUUGCAUACUGAAAAUGAUAGGCCUGGUACACAGUCACUGCAAAAUGUU